UACAGAGGUCCCAAGCGUUAUCCGGAAUUAUUGGGCGUAAAGAGCUCGUAGGCGGUUUGUCGCGUCUGCCGUGAAAGUCCGGGGCUCAACUCCGGAUCUGCGGUGGGUACGGGCAGACUAGAGUGAUGUAGGGGAGACUGGAAUUCCUGGUGUAGCGGUGAAAUGCGCAGAUAUCAGGAGGAACACCGAUGGCGAAGGCAGGUCUCUGGGCAUUAACUGACGCUGAGGAGCGAAAGCAUGGGGAGCGAACAGG
RNAcentral lists this ribosomal RNA (253 nucleotides) under uncultured bacterium. RNAcentral describes it as "partial 16S ribosomal RNA". It matches the Rfam family "Bacterial small subunit ribosomal RNA", at positions 524 to 776 of the family's 1533-position model. The record is from RNAcentral.